GUAGUGCUCCAGCUUUACCGCUGAUACAUUCGUGUAUGAGAGGAAAGUCCGGGCAGCGCAGGACGCUCCACUUCCUAAUAUAGAAGCUAUUGGUGACAGUAGGAAAUGACAGAAGAAAAUAACCGCUUUUCGAUGCCGCCCUCUUUUUGAAGGGGUUGCGUGCGAGGAGUAAGGGUGAGAAGGUGGUGUAAGAGACCACCAGUCGGUUGGUGACAAUCGGGCUGUGUCAUCUGGAGGCUGCAAGUUCAUGUAAACCACAGUUUGAGGGCUGUCCGCUCGAUGCGUUUCAAUGCAACUGUGGAGGGUAGAAUGCUCAAGCCUUGGGGUGACUCAUGGCUUAGAUAAAUGGUAAAGCGCCAUCUUUGGAUGGUUACAGAACCCGGCUUAUUAGGGCACUACUUUC
The sequence is a non-coding RNA, 403 nucleotides long. It matches the Rfam family "Bacterial RNase P class A". From Rfam's summary of the family: Ribonuclease P (RNase P) is a ubiquitous endoribonuclease, found in archaea, bacteria and eukarya as well as chloroplasts and mitochondria. Its best characterised activity is the generation of mature 5'-ends of tRNAs by cleaving the 5'-leader elements of precursor-tRNAs. Cellular RNase Ps are ribonucleoproteins. The record is from Rfam.